CCUACGGGUGGCAGCAGUGAGGAAUAUUGGUCAAUGGACGAGAGUCUGAACCAGCCAAGUAGCGUGAAGGAUGACUGCCCUAUGGGUUGUAAACUUCUUUUAUAUGGGAAUAAAAUGUUCCACGUGUGGGAUUUUGUAUGUACCAUAUGAAUAAGGAUCGGCUAACUCCGUGCCAGCAGCCGCGGUAAUACGGAGGAUCCGAGCGUUAUCCGGAUUUAUUGGGUUUAAAGGGAGCGUAGGUGGAUUGUUAAGUCAGUUGUGAAAGUUUGCGGCUCAAACGUAAAAUUGCAGUUGAAACUGGCAGUCUUGAGGACAGUAGAGGUGGGCGGAAUUCGUGGUGUAGCGGUGAAAUGCUUAGAUAUCACGAAGAACUCCGAUUGCGAAGGCAGUUCACUGGACUGCAACCGACACUGAGGCUCGAAAGUGUGGGUAUCAAACAGGAUUAGAUACCCGAGUAGUC
Molecule: ribosomal RNA, 460 nt
Filed under: uncultured bacterium
Lineage: Bacteria
Description: partial 16S ribosomal RNA
Rfam family: Bacterial small subunit ribosomal RNA
Source: RNAcentral